RNAcentral lists this ribosomal RNA (253 nucleotides) under uncultured bacterium. RNAcentral's name for it is "partial 16S ribosomal RNA". It matches the Rfam family "Bacterial small subunit ribosomal RNA", at positions 524 to 776 of the family's 1533-position model. The record is from RNAcentral.
UACGUAGGGACCAAGCGUUGUUCGGAUUUACUGGGCGUAAAGGGCGCGUAGGCGGCGUGUUAAGUCACUUGUGAAAUCUCUAAGCUUAACUUAGAACGGUCAAGUGAUACUGAUGUGCUAGAGUGCAGAAGGGGCAACCGGAAUUCUUGGUGUAGCGGUGGAAUGCGCAGAUAUCAGGAGGAACACCGAUGGCGAAGGCAGGUCUCUGGGCCAUUACUGACACUGAGAAGCGAAAGCAUGGGGAGCGAACAGG